RNAcentral lists this small nucleolar RNA (169 nucleotides) under Pseudocercospora fijiensis CIRAD86. The record is from RNAcentral. Lineage: Eukaryota; Fungi; Ascomycota; Dothideomycetes; Mycosphaerellales; Mycosphaerellaceae.
AUGUCUCUCACCGCGCUCGGUCUUGCGUCUUCCGUCACAGAUCUUGAGCUGGAUACCUGAAUAUCACAUAUUCAGCGUAACGAGACGACAUCGAACAUCGGCGGUCUUUGAGUACGGGCAAGGCUUGCGCUACCCAUAGCCUUACCUCGUAAUUUACCAGUCGAGACAG